AAAUAUGCUGACGUCAUUAUAAUAAAAACAUUCAUAUCUCGUGAAAGAAACAUUGUAUAACAACAGCUCAGAAUAUUUCAUUUUCUGGAAACACAAAUAUGGCGGCCUAAAUGGAUUAUGACGUCAUCAUUCAAGCCCCUCGCCUUGUACCGCCGGGAAGAUAUAUUUUUCGCUUUAAAAGCUUUUUCCCGUCGAUUUUUGCAAUUUUAGAGCAGCCAGUGUGUUAGGUCAUCUUUCCAAGAUAUCUCGUGCAAGGCUUAAAAGCGAUGGAGUAAAAAUAUGGAAGAUGAUAUUGACCAUGGCAAAGAAGAUUGAGAUAAGUAAAUAUAUAAGGAUGGACAGAGAGAUCAUUGAAUUUUCUCCUUUGUAUUCCACUCUUAGUGAUAAAAAACUUAUACUAUUCUUUUUUGUGAAUAUUUGUUUUAUUUGUUCAA
Molecule: long non-coding RNA, 434 nt
Organism: Nematostella vectensis (starlet sea anemone)
Lineage: Eukaryota; Metazoa; Cnidaria; Anthozoa; Actiniaria; Edwardsiidae
Exons: 2
Source: RefSeq, a predicted model, not a curated record